RNAcentral lists this ribosomal RNA (255 nucleotides) under uncultured bacterium. RNAcentral describes it as "partial 16S ribosomal RNA". It matches the Rfam family "Bacterial small subunit ribosomal RNA", at positions 524 to 777 of the family's 1533-position model. The record is from RNAcentral.
GACAGAGGGUGCAAACGUUGUUCGGAAUUACUGGGCGUAAAGCGCGUGUAGGUGGCAAGGCAAGUCGGGUGUGAAAGCCCUGGGCUCAACCCAGGAAGUGCACUCGAUACUGCCUCGCUAGAGUCCCGGAGAGGUUGGUGGAACUCUCGGUGUAGAGGUGAAAUUCGUAGAUAUCGAGAAGAACACCGGUGGCGAAGGCGGCCAACUGGACGGGUGACUGACACUGAGACGCGAAAGCGUGGGGAGCAAACAGGG